This 253-nucleotide ribosomal RNA is filed under the name uncultured bacterium. RNAcentral describes it as "partial 16S ribosomal RNA". It matches the Rfam family "Bacterial small subunit ribosomal RNA", at positions 524 to 776 of the family's 1533-position model. The record is from RNAcentral.
GACGAACCGUGCGAACGUUGUUCGGAAUCACUGGGCUUGAAGGGCGCGUAGGCGGGCGACCAAGUCCGGGGUGAAAUCCCACGGCCCAACCGUGGAAGGGCCCCGGAUACUGGCCGCCUCGAGGGAGGUAGGGGCGUGUGGAACUUCCGGUGGAGCGGUGAAAUGCGUAGAGAUCGGAAGGAACGCCGGUGGCGAAAGCGACACGCUGGACCUCUUCUGACGCUGAGGCACGAAGGCCAGGGGAGCAAACGGG